UUUAUGGAGAGUUUGAUCCUGGCUCAGGAUGAACGCUGGCGGUGUGCCUAAUACAUGCAAGUCGAGCGAACGGACGAGAAGCUUGCUUCUCUGAUGUUAGCGGCGGACGGGUGAGUAACACGUGGAUAACCUACCUAUAAGACUGGGAUAACUUCGGGAAACCGGAGCUAAUACCGGAUAAUAUUUUGAACCGCAUGGUUCAAAAGUGAAAGACGGUCUUGCUGUCACUUAUAGAUGGAUCCGCGCUGCAUUAGC
RNAcentral lists this ribosomal RNA (255 nucleotides) under Staphylococcus aureus. RNAcentral's name for it is "partial 16S ribosomal RNA". It matches the Rfam family "Bacterial small subunit ribosomal RNA", at positions 1 to 245 of the family's 1533-position model. The record is from RNAcentral. Lineage: Bacteria; Bacillati; Bacillota; Bacilli; Caryophanales; Staphylococcaceae.